UUUCGUGAUGAUAAAAUAUACAGACCUGUUCCGAAUAUGAAUGAGGACAAAGUUAUUGCAUUUUAUAUCUGAUU
This 74-nucleotide small nucleolar RNA is filed under the name Lentinula edodes (shiitake mushroom). RNAcentral's name for it is "Small nucleolar RNA snR56". It matches the Rfam family "Small nucleolar RNA snR56". Lineage: Eukaryota; Fungi; Basidiomycota; Agaricomycetes; Agaricales; Omphalotaceae. The record is from Rfam by way of RNAcentral.